RNAcentral lists this ribosomal RNA (445 nucleotides) under uncultured bacterium. RNAcentral's name for it is "bacterial SSU rRNA". It matches the Rfam family "Bacterial small subunit ribosomal RNA", at positions 330 to 792 of the family's 1533-position model. The record is from RNAcentral.
CCCAGACUCCUACGGGAGGCAGCAGUGGGGAAUAUUGCACAAUGGGGGGAACCCUGAUGCAGCGACGCCGCGUGAGUGAAGAAGUAAUUCGUUAUGUAAAGCUCUAUCAGCAGGGAAGAAAAUGACGGUACCUGAAGAAGAAGCCCCGGCUAACUACGUGCCAGCAGCCGCGGUAAUACGUAGGGGGCAAGCGUUAUCCGGAUUUACUGGGUGUAAAGGGGGCGCAGACGGCGAUGCAAGCCAGGAGUGAAAGCCCGGGGCCCAACCCCGGGACUGCUCUUGGAACUGCGUGGCUGGAGUGCAGGAGGGGCAGGCGGAAUUCCUGGUGUAGCGGUGAAAUGCGUAGAUAUCAGGAGGAACACCGGUGGCGAAGGCGGCCUGCUGGACUGCAACUGACGUUGAGGCCCGAAAGCGUGGGGAGCAAACAGGAUUAGAUACCCGAGUA